UGGAGGAAAGUAGGGGAUCGUAAGACCUUGCGCUUUUGGAGCGGCCGAUGUCUGAUUAGCUAGUUGGUGGGGUAAUGGCCUACCAAAGCUUCGAUCAGUAGUUGGUCUGAGAGGACGGCCAGCCACACUGGGACUGAGACACGGCCCAGACUCCUACGGGAGGCAGCAGUGGGGAAUUUUGGACAAUGGGCGCAAGCCUGAUCCAGCCGUGCCGCGUGAGUGAAGAAGGCCUUCGGGUUGUAAAGCUCUUUCAGCCGGGAAGAAAAGGCUGCGAUUAAUAAUCGCAGUUCAUGACGGUACCGGAAGAAGAAGCACCGGCUAACUACGUGCCAGCAGCCGCGGUAAUACGUAGGGUGCGAGCGUUAAUCGGAAUUACUGGGCGCAAAGGGUGCGCAGGCGGUUUUGUAAGUCAGAUGUGA
Molecule: ribosomal RNA, 419 nt
Filed under: uncultured ammonia-oxidizing beta proteobacterium
Lineage: Bacteria; Pseudomonadati; Pseudomonadota; Betaproteobacteria
Description: bacterial SSU rRNA
Rfam family: Bacterial small subunit ribosomal RNA
Source: RNAcentral